UCAUGUAGUUGGAUUGCAUGGUACUUUUAAAAGAAAUGUGUUUGAUGAACCUUUGAAUGAACUUUAUUACCAAAGGGUGCUUCGUCGCAAAGAAGUCAAGGUAUAAAUAUUCGCUAGCUUAUUCAAACAACACCUCUGGUUGAAGCAAUGAUAUGUUGCGUUUUUCUUUUUUUCUUCUUCUUUUCUAAUUUUGUAGAUUGUUGAACACACUUGCUCUAAGGAUUUUCUUGAGAUCGGUACGCCUUUGAGUAUUAUCGCUAAGGCUUAUAGAGGCGGAGAUGGGGCUCCCACAAUCCACGCACUACCCUCUCAGGUCUUCAAUGGAUAUACAUGCGUUGACAAAGAAGUUUACAACCUGGAAUCACAGUCAUCGGUUUAUGAAAGUCUCUCCUUUAUCUUAGCAACUACGGGUGUGUUGUUUCUCACCGUGCCACUCCUGUUCUUGAGAUUCCGCUAGAUAUCAACGAGUGAAAAGGUCACUGAGUUUGUCUCUGAUG
This is a non-coding RNA of Camelina sativa (false flax), 497 nucleotides long. The record is from RefSeq and is a predicted model, not a curated record. NCBI's taxonomy places the organism in Eukaryota, Viridiplantae, Streptophyta, Magnoliopsida, Brassicales, Brassicaceae.